Molecule: transfer RNA, 71 nt
Filed under: Fejervarya cancrivora (crab-eating frog)
Lineage: Eukaryota; Metazoa; Chordata; Amphibia; Anura; Dicroglossidae
Description: tRNA-Gln
Source: RNAcentral
UAAAGAGAUAGGAAUUGAACCUACGCCUUAGAGAUCAAAACUCUUUGCACUCCCGCUAUGCUACUCUUUAG